GAUCAUGGGCUCAGGAUGAACGCUAGCGGCAGGCUUAACACAUGCAAGUCGAGGGGCAGCGCGGAGUAGCAAUACUCUGGCGGCGACCGGCGGAAGGGUGCGUAACACGUGAGCGACUUGCCCGUCACAGGGAGAUAACCGCUGGAAACGGCGACUAAUAUCCCAUAUGAUGGCGAUCUGCAUGGAUUGUCAUUGAAAGAUUCAUCGGUGACGGAUAGG
RNAcentral lists this ribosomal RNA (219 nucleotides) under uncultured bacterium. RNAcentral describes it as "partial 16S ribosomal RNA". It matches the Rfam family "Bacterial small subunit ribosomal RNA", at positions 15 to 229 of the family's 1533-position model. The record is from RNAcentral.